GACGAACGCUGGCGGCGUGCUUAACACAUGCAAGUCGAACGGAAAGGCCCUGCUUUUGUGGGGUGCUCGAGUGGCGAACGGGUGAGUAACACGUGAGUAACCUGCCCUUGACUUUGGGAUAACUUCAGGAAACUGGGGCUAAUACCGGAUAGGAGCUCCUGCUGCAUGGUGGGGGUUGGAAAGUUUCGGCGGUUGGGGAUGGACUCGCGGCUUAUCAGCUUGUUGGUGGGGUAGUGGCUUACCAAGGCUUUGACGGGUAGCCGGCCUGAGAGGGGGACCGGCCACAUUGGGACUGAGAGACGGACCAGAAUCCUACGGGAGGCAGCAGUGGGGAAUAUUGCACAAUGGGCGGAAGCCUGAUGCAGCAACGCCGCGUGCGGGAUGACGGCCUUCGGGGUGUAAACCGAUGUCGAAUGUGACGAAGAGUGAGUGACGGUAAUGGGUAAAGAAGCACCGGCUAACUACGUG
This 468-nucleotide ribosomal RNA is filed under the name uncultured bacterium. Its description in RNAcentral is "partial 16S ribosomal RNA". It matches the Rfam family "Bacterial small subunit ribosomal RNA", at positions 28 to 507 of the family's 1533-position model. The record is from RNAcentral.